This is a long non-coding RNA of Bubalus bubalis (water buffalo), 1322 nucleotides long. RefSeq lists it as uncharacterized. The record is from RefSeq and is a predicted model, not a curated record. The transcript is spliced from 2 exons. NCBI's taxonomy places the organism in Eukaryota, Metazoa, Chordata, Mammalia, Artiodactyla, Bovidae.
AGUAGAGGCCUGGAAUGGGAGAGGGGAUGGUGGGCAGGCUGACGAAGGGCGGGGCCGAGAGGCGGGGAGGAGCUGAAGGAGGGUCAGGCAGACGGAGCUCACCUGAAAAGCUCUGGUCCUGCUGCCAGACAUCUGCAGAGAAGAAACCUGCGUCUCAGGCGAGCUCACCUUUGAGUUCAGCAUCCUGCACCCCUUUAGGGUAAGAGCCCCUCUACCCCGUGUGGAACCUCAGGGUUCUUGCACUUGCCAUGCUGUGAGUUCAGGCAAGUAUUUGCUCUAAACCUCUUUCCUCUUCUGAAAAAUGAGACUAAGCAUGCCUGUCUUGCUGGGUUAUUGUGAAUACAUUCCAGACCCGGUAAUAAAUUCUUUAGAUAUAAUCACUUUAAAGUCAUGUAAUCUGGGGACUUCCCUGGUGGUCCAGUGGUUGAGACUCUGAACUCCGAAUGCAGGGAACCCAGGUUCGAUCUCUGGUCAGGAAACUAGAUCCUACAUGCCAGAACUAAGAGUUCACAUGCUGAAACAAAGAUUCCGCAUGCUGCAACUAAGACUUGGCACAGGAAAAUAAAUACAUAUUUUAAAUAAAGAAAUAAAUUCACCUAGUCUGAUGAGAAAGCACUAUUAGCUGAAUUUUGAUAACUAAGGAAACAGGCACAAAAGAGUCAAGUCACUAGCAUAAGGUCACGGAGCAAGUGAAUAGCCGAGUGGGGAUGUGCUUUCAGGUCUGUGUAACUGACAGGAACCCCAGCCAAGGCGCUUUCUCCUGUGACCAAGACAAGACCCAGAGUCCCCAGCCCCUUCAUCUUCCAGGUUCUGAAGUUGGCCGUGAUCCCGGGGUGGAGGGAUGGGCUUCCGAUGGGGAAGCCAGCUGUGCAGAGCUGAAUCCGUGCAGACCCAGCCUCGCUCCCUCACAGCUGCCAACAACUCUCAGCCCGGUGCCUCCGCUACCCCCGCCUCUGCUAAUUGCUGUGCCCCCUGCAGUGGAAGCAUGGAGUUCUGACCACUGGACCACCACAGGGAAGUCCGGACAGUCAAUGGCUUUCAAGUCUAGAUCCUGGAAUUCUAGUUUUCUGCUCUUACAUACUCUGAUUGCAAAAGGCUAAGAGUUUAUCUAUUUAAAGUAUUUCAGACCCUACAAUUCUAAGAUUCUAGACUCUUCCAUGCCUUUGUUUUGGUGUUUCUCAACCUUUUUUCAUUAUCAGUCCCCUAAGAAGGCUUUCUAAGAACCUUCAUUUGUUCCCUCAUGAAAUGUUAAUACCACAGAUAUGCUAUAAAUCUGUGGGCUAUGUGCAUAUCUCUGCUUUAAAUAUAAAAGGGUAAGAUUU